Molecule: ribosomal RNA, 868 nt
Filed under: Bacteroides sp. BS-03
Lineage: Bacteria; Pseudomonadati; Bacteroidota; Bacteroidia; Bacteroidales; Bacteroidaceae
Description: bacterial SSU rRNA
Rfam family: Bacterial small subunit ribosomal RNA
Source: RNAcentral
GAUUUAUUGGGUUUAAGGGAGCGUAGGUGGAUUGUUAAGUCAGUUGUGAAAGUUUGCGGCUCAACCGUAAAAUUGCAGUUGAAACUGGCAGUCUUGAGUACAGUAGAGGUGGGCGGAAUUCGUGGUGUAGCGGUGAAAUGCUUAGAUAUCACGAAGAACUCCGAUUGCGAAGGCAGCUCACUAGACUGUCACUGACACUGAUGCUCGAAAGUGUGGGUAUCAAACAGGAUUAGAUACCCUGGUAGUCCACACAGUAAACGAUGAAUACUCGCUGUUUGCGAUAUACAGUAAGCGGCCAAGCGAAAGCAUUAAGUAUUCCACCUGGGGAGUACGCCGGCAACGGUGAAACUCAAAGGAAUUGACGGGGGCCCGCACAAGCGGAGGAACAUGUGGUUUAAUUCGAUGAUACGCGAGGAACCUUACCCGGGCUUAAAUUGCAUUUGAAUAUGUAGGAAACUAUAUAGCCGCAAGGCAAAUGUGAAGGUGCUGCAUGGUUGUCGUCAGCUCGUGCCGUGAGGUGUCGGCUUAAGUGCCAUAACGAGCGCAACCCUUAUCUUCAGUUACUAACAGGUCAUGCUGAGGACUCUGGAGAGACUGCCGUCGUAAGAUGUGAGGAAGGUGGGGAUGACGUCAAAUCAGCACGGCCCUUACGUCCGGGGCUACACACGUGUUACAAUGGGGGGUACAGAAGGCAGCUACCUGGUGACAGGAUGCUAAUCCCAAAAACCUCUCUCAGUUCGGAUCGAAGUCUGCAACCCGACUUCGUGAAGCUGGAUUCGCUAGUAAUCGCGCAUCAGCCAUGGCGCGGUGAAUACGUUCCCGGGCCUUGUACACACCGCCCGUCAAGCCAUGAAAGCCGGGGGUACCU